AUGAUUUGGACCGGCUCUACAAGCUCUAGGUUUGAAAAACAUACUUUUCUCUUCCCGGAAUCAUAUGAUUGUGGAGACACUACACAUGCAGCGUUUUCUCAUGUUGUUUCUCCCAAUAAAUGGUUAUGUGCGGUUUGUUCUGAGCAACGAUUUAUCGACAAUCUCUUCCGUUCAACUUUUUCUUUGCAAGUUCCGAAUUUUUUUCCGGAAGUUUCAACUUAUUUUGCAACAAAGAUUAAGCUUGUAAUAAUUUUCUCCGGAACCUCCAAUGAAAAAAAUUCUACAGUUUGGAUAAUUUUACCCUGA
Molecule: ribosomal RNA, 306 nt
Filed under: Triticum aestivum (bread wheat)
Lineage: Eukaryota; Viridiplantae; Streptophyta; Magnoliopsida; Poales; Poaceae
Description: partial small subunit ribosomal RNA
Source: RNAcentral